CCUACGGGAGGCAGCAGUGGGGAAUAUUGCACAAUGGGGGAAACGCUGAUGCAGCGACGCCGCGUGAGUGAAGAAGUAAUUCGUUAUGUAAAGCUCUAUCAGCAGGGAAGAAAAUGCCGGUACCUGAGGAAGAAGCACCGGCUAACUACGUACCAGCAGCCGCAGUAAUACGUAGGCGGCCAGCGUUAUCCGGAUUUACUGGGUGUAAAGGGGGCGUAGACGGCGGUACAAGUCUGGAGUGAAAGGCGCGGGGUUAAACCCCGGACUGCCCUGGAAACUGUACGUCUUGAGUGCAGGAGAGGUAAGCGGAAUGCGUGGUGUAGCGGUGAAAUGCGUAGAUAUUAGGAGGAACACCAGUGGCGAAGGCGGCUUACUGGACUGUAACUGACGUUGAGGCUCGAAAGCGUGGGGAGCAAACAGGAUUAGAUACCCUUGUAGUC
RNAcentral lists this ribosomal RNA (440 nucleotides) under uncultured bacterium. RNAcentral's name for it is "partial 16S ribosomal RNA". It matches the Rfam family "Bacterial small subunit ribosomal RNA", at positions 338 to 795 of the family's 1533-position model. The record is from RNAcentral.